Molecule: transfer RNA, 73 nt
Filed under: compost metagenome
Description: tRNA-Gly
Rfam family: tRNA
About the family: Transfer RNA (tRNA) molecules are approximately 80 nucleotides in length.
Source: RNAcentral
ACUAACGUGGUGUAACGGGUAAACACAUGCGGUCGCCAACUGCAAGCUGCUGGUUCAAUCCCAGUCGUUAGUU